RNAcentral lists this long non-coding RNA (686 nucleotides) under Olea europaea subsp. europaea. Lineage: Eukaryota; Viridiplantae; Streptophyta; Magnoliopsida; Lamiales; Oleaceae. The record is from RNAcentral.
UUUUCGUAGGAGAAUAAAGACUACAAGGAGUUCAAAGACAAGGAUGUGAGCGAGAUAUACAUUCGCUAUCGUACACUUUUUGACGACAGCUACGAUGGGGAGAAGUAUGCAGUCACGCCGACUAAGUUGUGCCGAACGGGGUUCGGGUUGUUUGAGGACAGUGCGCUCGAAGACACUCGGGAUGCAAUCCCCGUCGACGAGGAAAGUAGUGGUUCAAGUGACGAGGCUGAGCAAAUGGUCGGUGGAUCCCGCUUAUACGUAUCUGACACCACAAGCGGUGGUAAAAGAAAGUCGUCCGGUGCGAUGUGACAGGGUAAGAAGAAAAAAAAUCUGCACGCGAGCUGUCGUUCUCCGUCGACCGAGCCACAAGUGCCGCGGAGGAAGUGGUGGCGAAGCUUAAUACCAUGAUGGGCUCAAAUGACAACACCGGCACUGCCUGUAUAGAGGAGCUACUGGCGGCUGGACGGCUCGAACGACGUACACCUCUAUACUUUUUCGCCUGUGCUAUUCUGGCGAAAAAACAUUACCGAAACAUGCUCGCCGUUAUGAAAGAUUUGGAUGAGAAAUUUGAAUGGAUUGAGUGGCUCUUCAAUGAGUGGGGCAAGUAAUUUCACAUUUCACUGUACGCAUUACAUUUACUUGUGUGUUGUCACGAAAAACUGUUUCCCUUUCGUACUCAACUGUCU